GACGAACCGUCCAAACGUUAUUCGGAAUCACUGGGCUUAAAGGGCGCGUAGGCGGCCGAGCGGGUCGUGGGUGAAAUCCUCCAGCUUAACUGGAGAACUGCCCUUGAUACCACUGCGGCUCGAGGAAGGAAGGGGCAAUCGGAACUGUCGGUGGAGCGGUGAAAUGCGUUGAUAUCGACAGGAACGCCGGUGGCGAAAGCGGAUUGCUGGUCCUUUUCUGACGCUGAGGCGCGAAAGCCAGGGGAGCAAACGGG
RNAcentral lists this ribosomal RNA (254 nucleotides) under uncultured bacterium. RNAcentral's name for it is "partial 16S ribosomal RNA". It matches the Rfam family "Bacterial small subunit ribosomal RNA", at positions 524 to 776 of the family's 1533-position model. The record is from RNAcentral.